UCCGUUGUAGUCUAGUUUGUUAGGAUACCCGGCUCUCACCCGAGAGACUCGGGUUCAAGUCCCGGCAAUGGAA
This 73-nucleotide transfer RNA is filed under the name Capsicum annuum. It matches the Rfam family "tRNA". Rfam says of the family: Transfer RNA (tRNA) molecules are approximately 80 nucleotides in length. Their secondary structure includes four short double-helical elements and three loops (D, anti-codon, and T loops). Lineage: Eukaryota; Viridiplantae; Streptophyta; Magnoliopsida; Solanales; Solanaceae. The record is from Rfam by way of RNAcentral.